Molecule: long non-coding RNA, 868 nt
Organism: Bubalus bubalis (water buffalo)
Lineage: Eukaryota; Metazoa; Chordata; Mammalia; Artiodactyla; Bovidae
Exons: 3
Source: RefSeq, a predicted model, not a curated record
UCUAAAAUUACCAUUGGUUUGGGGUUUUUUUUUUUUUAAGUCCCUAUGUCAUUUAUUCUGAAAUUUCAAAAAACAUCAAGAGGGGGCACAAGAUUGUUUUAACGUGUGUCAGGAGGGGGUGCAAGUUUGAAAGACUGAGACAUCCCACAAAUGUGUCUGCUUCUGCUGGGGGCACGCUCCCCACUCCCUUGUGUCCCCAAAAAGAAUGCAGAAGGGGUGAGCUGGGGUUUCCUUUCCUUGCCGUUCUCCUUGCGAGGGUAACAAAUAGCCCUCCAGCUGCGUGAGAAAAUCACUUUCAUCUUCCUCAUUUUAUGUGAUCCUUGUAAGAUCUCUGCGAGAUGGGUGGGAGCACAACUGAAUUCUACAAAUAUUCACUGAAGGCGAACCUAAGAGGCACUGUGCUCAGCGGACAAGGACCCUGGGCCCUAAGAGAUCCAGAGUUUCUAACUUAAGCCCCCUACAUACAAGCCUUCAAGAUAAGAGCUUUCAAAGAGACGCACGUGUGUCUGCUUCCAGCAAGGAGCCAGAACCUGAGCCAUCAAAGUCAGGUGUGGGUGAAUCUGCAGCUUGCCCUCCGUCUCCGACUGCUGACAAUCCUUCAGCUCCAGCGUCUCCCUCCUCCAGUCAGUAACUCUUCCUGCCUGUUCGCUCGAUGCCAGCCCCUGUACGUCAGCUGCUGUAGUGUACUACUGUACUCAUCAAGACUGCGAGAUAUCUCCUCACCCUUAUCUUGCAUCUGAAUCGCAGAGCUGGGGCAUGCCACCGCUGGUGGUGAUACAGAGGUCCCCGACUCCCAACAGAGGGCCUUCGUCUGGUGCUGCUGCGGGACCAGCCUGCAAUGAGCCAGGUUUUCCCUGUGUGAGAGCAC